UAUGUUCAACAACUUGUGGUUCAAAUUGAACUUAUCAACUUAUAUAUACUGGUUAUAACCAAAUAGUAAUAUAAAGAAAACCAAAAAAAUAAUAAUAUUUUCAUAAAACUAACAAAAUGUUGGGAAAAUUUUCAGAGCAAAUACAAAUAAAUGCACCAGCAAGUGAAGUUUGGAAUCUAUAUGGCACUAUUCAAUUAUCAAAAUUUCUUGUUGAAAAACUUCCACAGAUUGUUGAAAAAGUUGAGUAGAUUGAAGGCGAUGGAGGUACUGGUUCAGUCUUGCAAAUCAGUUUACAAGGCAAUGCUCCAUAUAAAGAGAAAUUUGUAUUAGUGGAUGAUGAAAAAAGAGUGAAGGAAAUAGAGAUUGUUGAAGGUGGAUUGCUUGAUCUUGGAUUCAAUUUUUAUAAAAUUAAACUUGAAAUUAUAGAGAAAGAUGAUAAUCCAAGCAUCAUCAAUUUUACCACUAAUUUUGAGAUUAAUGAUGUUGAAAAAAUUCAUCUUGCCAUCAACAACUUCAAAGUCUUUGUUGCCAUAGUGAAAGCUUCUGCAGAUUAUCUUGAAAAAUAAUCUUUUUUUUUAAUUAUUAUUAUUGUAUUUUUCAUAAUUUAUGUUUGUUUACCUUUAAAUUACAUUGUCUAGUAAUGUUAUUGUAU
Molecule: long non-coding RNA, 652 nt
Organism: Capsicum annuum
Lineage: Eukaryota; Viridiplantae; Streptophyta; Magnoliopsida; Solanales; Solanaceae
Exons: 2
Source: RefSeq, a predicted model, not a curated record